This 370-nucleotide ribosomal RNA is filed under the name uncultured bacterium. Its description in RNAcentral is "bacterial SSU rRNA". It matches the Rfam family "Bacterial small subunit ribosomal RNA", at positions 29 to 409 of the family's 1533-position model. The record is from RNAcentral.
AACGAACGUUGAUGGCGUGCCUCAUACAUGCAAGUCGAGCGCCCCGCAAGGGGAGCGGCGGACGGGUGAGUAACACGUAAAGAAUCUGCCCUGAAGCGGGGAAUAACUAUCCCAACGGAUAGCUAAUACCGCAUAAUGAUGGAGGAGGCAUCUCCUCUUCUCAAAAGGCUUCGGCCACUUCAGGAUGACUUUGCGUCCCAUUAGCUUGUUGGCGGGGUAACGGCCCACCAAGGCUACGAUGGGUAUCCGGCCUGAGAGGGUGUACGGACACAUUGGGACUGAGAUACGGCCCAGACUCCUACGGGAGGCAGCAGUAGGGAAUUUUGCGCAAUGGGGGAAACCCUGGACGCAGCAACGCCAUGUGUGGGAU